GACGAACGCUGGCGGCGUGCUUAACACAUGCUAGUCGAGCGGAAAGGCCACUUCGGUGGUACUCGAGCAGCGAACGGGUGAGUAACACGUGAGUAAUCUGCCCUUCACUCUGGGAUAGCCACCGGAAACGGUGAUUAAUACCGGAUACGACAACUCCACGCAUGUGGUGGUGGUGGAAACUUUCUGGGUGGGGGAUGUGCUCGCGGCCUAUCAGCUUGUUGGUGGGGUAAUGGCCUACCAAGGCUUCGACGGGUAGCCGGCCUGAGAGGGUGACCGGCCACACUGGGACUGAGACACGGCCCAGACUCCUACGGGCGGCAGCAGUGGGGAAUAUUGGACAAUGGCGGAAGCCUGAUCCAGCAACGCCGCGUGAGGGAUGACGGCCUUCGGGUUGUAAACCUCUUUCAGCACCGACGAAGCGCAAGUGACGGUAGGUGCAGAAGAAGGACCGGCCAACUACGUGCCAGCCGCCGCAGUAA
This 479-nucleotide ribosomal RNA is filed under the name uncultured bacterium. RNAcentral's name for it is "partial 16S ribosomal RNA". It matches the Rfam family "Bacterial small subunit ribosomal RNA", at positions 28 to 523 of the family's 1533-position model. The record is from RNAcentral.